GGGGCUGUAGCUCAGUGGUAGAGCACUUGCCUAGCAUGCAUGAGGCACUGGAUUCGAUCUUCAGCACCA
This 69-nucleotide transfer RNA is filed under the name Urocitellus parryii (Arctic ground squirrel). Its description in RNAcentral is "Spermophilus parryii (Arctic ground squirrel) tRNA". It matches the Rfam family "tRNA". From Rfam's summary of the family: Transfer RNA (tRNA) molecules are approximately 80 nucleotides in length. Lineage: Eukaryota; Metazoa; Chordata; Mammalia; Rodentia; Sciuridae. The record is from Rfam by way of RNAcentral. RNAcentral also lists the same sequence under 1 other name.